GAUGAACGCUGGCGGCGUGCCUAAUACAUGCAAGUCGAGCGAACAGACGAGGAGCUUGCUCCUCUGACGUUAGCGGCGGACGGGUGAGUAACACGUGGAUAACCUACCUAUAAGACUGGGAUAACUUCGGGAAACCGGAGCUAAUACCGGAUAAUAUAUUGAACCGCAUGGUUCAAUAGUGAAAGACGGUUUUGCUGUCACUUAUAGAUGGAUCCGCGCCGCAUUAGCUAGUUGGUAAGGAAACGGCUUACCAAGGCAACGAUGCGUAGCCGACCUGAGAGGGUGAUCGGCCACACUGGAACUGAGACACGGUCCAGACUCCUACGGGAGGCAGCAGUAGGGAAUCUUCCGCAAUGGGCGAAAGCUUGACGGAGCCACGCCGCGUGAGUGAUGAAGGUCUUCGGAUCGUAAAACUCUGUUAUUAGGGAAGAACAAAUGUGUAAGUAACUAUGCACGUCUUGACGGUACCUAAUCAGAAAGCCACGGCUAACUACGUG
Molecule: ribosomal RNA, 497 nt
Filed under: uncultured bacterium
Lineage: Bacteria
Description: partial 16S ribosomal RNA
Rfam family: Bacterial small subunit ribosomal RNA
Source: RNAcentral